This 333-nucleotide unclassified non-coding RNA is filed under the name Mortierella sp. Its description in RNAcentral is "partial contains 5.8S ribosomal RNA, internal transcribed spacer 2, and large subunit ribosomal RNA". The stretch from base 1 to 52 matches the Rfam family "5.8S ribosomal RNA", at positions 103 to 154 of the family's 154-position model. Lineage: Eukaryota; Fungi; Mortierellomycota; Mortierellomycetes; Mortierellales; Mortierellaceae. The record is from RNAcentral. RNAcentral also lists the same sequence under 3 other names.
AACGCAUAUUGCGCUCUCUGGUAUUCCGGAGAGCAUGCUUGUUUGAGUAUCAGUAAACACCUCAAAUCCCUCUACUUGUUGGAGGAAUUUGGACUUGAGCAAUCCCAACUUUUCGAAAGAGAAGGCGGGUUGCUUGAAAUGCAGGUGCAGCUAGAUUCUUUCUUCUGAGCUAUAAGCAUACUUAUUUAAUCCCGUCAAACGGAUUAUUACUUUUGCUGCAGCUAACAUAAAGGUUGAAGAGUCGCUAUGGCUGACUGAUGCAGGAUUUAACAUUUCGCGCAAGCGAUUUGUAAACUCGAUCUCAAAUCAAGCAAGACUACCCGCUGAACUUAA